Triticum aestivum (bread wheat) is the source of this 2825-nucleotide RNA transcript. RefSeq lists it as uncharacterized. The record is from RefSeq and is a predicted model, not a curated record. The transcript is spliced from 8 exons. NCBI's taxonomy places the organism in Eukaryota, Viridiplantae, Streptophyta, Magnoliopsida, Poales, Poaceae.
AUUAAAAUAGCAUUCUUUAACGGGCAAGCCUACGUCCGUUCACCGCCGACAAGGUGAGCCAUGGAUCAGAAUCAGCGGGCCCGUCUGAUCCGUCGGGAAGUUCGCUUUCCGUUCGGUGGGUACAGGCGGAAAUUGAAUGCAGGGUCCAGUAUCUUCUCUGCCUAGAGCGGUGCUCAUUUGGAAGCUCAGGCCUGCAGCGUAGAGAAAAAGAGCGGCGGCUGCGAGGCACCAUGGAUUUCCUGAUGCAGCCAAUCGAGGGAUCCACUCUCCUUGCAGAUUUAGGCGAGAGCUUGGUGCCGGUCCCUGUGCCGCAAGCGCCGUCGGGAGGCGCUAUGGUGGAGGAGUAGGAGGUGGCGGAGCAGCAACAGGCGGUGGACAGCGCAGACGCUCAGAUUUUCGCGGCCAAGGAGGCGGCGGCGGAUAGGAGGGAGAGCUCGCCUCCGACGUCGGAGCUGUCAGUUGGGAAGAUGAAUCCGCAGGUGGUGACUGUGUGGAACAAGAGGCUGAGGAUAGGUGCUGCCGCACCGAGCAGACCACCCUGCCCAACUCGCGGUAAAGUUGGUGUUAAGAACACAAGGUCUUGCCGUUGCAAAUGUCAGACGCUGGGUGGUACAUCACAGAGCAUUGGGAGAGCCACAACCAUUCCCUUUCACCAAACUUUGGCGAGAUGGUGCAUUGGCCAUGGCACAAGCAUAUAUAUCUGAUAAAACAGUUGCGGCAAAACAAUGCCAACCUUGCGAAGGUGUAUGGUAUCAUAGGGAACUUCUUUGGAUCAAUGGAGAAUGUGCCAUUCACCAAAAGGUCUUUGCGCAAUCUCCGUGGGAAGAUAAAUAGGGAGCAGGUCGAUGAUGAUGAAGGUGUUUGCUGAAAUUGGGGCCAAGGAUCCGCAUUUCACAUACAAAAUUCAGGCUGACAAUGAGGGCGGGAUUAACAACCUGAUGUGGGCAAGUGGAAACAGCAAGCUGCAGUACACAUUUUUCAGGGAUGUGAUAACAUUUGACACCAUGUACUGGACUAAUUUGUACGAAAUGAUGUUCAGGCUAUUGUUGGUGUUAAUAGUCAUUUCCAGAGUACCAUCCUGGCAGAGGUGCUUGUUUGUGAUGAGACAACUGAGAGUUCUGAAUGUUUUCUCAGAAUUUCUUAGAGUGAUGGGCGGCGCUCCUCUGAUGACUAUACUUACUGGUAAGUUCUUGCUUUCCUGGUGUGUUUUGCAGACCCUAUUCAGGCUAUGGAGCUGGCUAUCAAAGAGCAUUAUGCCAGACACCACAUGCUGGCGGUGCAAGUGUCACAUGCUCAAGAACGCAAAGUAAACGUUGGGCCCUCUGUACACCAAGAAGAGUGAAUUCAAAGUAGAGUCCCAUGAGGUGGUGAACUACAUGCUCACGGUAGAUGGGUUUGAGAAUGGGUGGGUGAUGAUGUUGGAUGAAUACAACCUAUGGAGACGCCCAUACAUGACUCAACUUCUCGAGAUCAGAAAGAAAUGGACAAAGCCGUAUUUCGAAGGUGUUUUAUGUGCAACAAUGAGCACAUAAAGGAGUGAUGGUGUCUAAUGGAUAUGUUUGCGCAGAAGUAUAUGAUGCUUCUGUUCGACAGACUCGGGAGAGAACUAUUGAGGAGAAGAGAACAAGAAUUUGUUAUUUCAGUUUGAAAAAUAUAGAGUAGUGAGCAUGGUACUAAUGGUUACAACUGGUUCCUGAUUGGGGAGAUCUUUGAUGAGGGUGCUUUGACAGGUGGAGUUGUUGGGAGAAAUGUGGCUGCCGGAAACAGUAAUCGUCGCUGGCAGGCAAAAAUUGUAGGUUAGUCAACAGUGGUAUAAAUUUGUCAAUUGAAAUGUGCUUGAAAUACAUACUUAAAUAAGGGGCCGUUCGGAAUCACUCCGCUCUGUAACUCCGCCGUGGAGCGGAGCGGCACCCAGUUCAAUUUUAGCGAGCGGCGAAAGUGGUGCUCCGCCCGCUCCGCUCCCUGACGGAGGAGCAGAGGAUUCCCGAACACAGCCUAAAUGUGGUUCACAGGACGGAGGUAUGUUGGUGGUGCCUUCGAGACAGGGAACAUGGGUUCUGCCAAAGUGGUCUUGGAGACGGUAGGGGAAUAAGAAGUCAGAAAGAGGCAACAAAAAGCGGAGGAGAGUGAGGUUCUCGAACAUUGUUGAAACGAUUUGUCGAUCGGAAACCUCAGAAACCGAAGACACUUCAAGUGAUAAUCACAGCAUGGCAAGUGGGGAUGAUGACCUUCGUGCGCGUCGUGCUGGAAGUGACAAGGAGCAAGGUUAUAAUACAGUGGUGGCACUGGAAAGGGUGGCGACAGAGUCCAAAAGGGUGGAGGUGCUGCUGCACUUGGUUCUGGAAUUGGCAUGGAAGGAGGGGCAGCUGAUGAUGGAACUAAUUCUUGUGGGAGGAUCCAGCGUCAUGACUGUGACUGUGAGCCUGGAUACACAUUCAGGGGUUCUUCAGAGGUUGGAGGUAGCUCAAGCCAAGGAGGAUGUGGUGGCAAUGCAAAUGUUGAAGGUGCAUAAAUUUUCCAGAAUGAAUAAUUCGGGGGGGAGGGGGGGGAAGGGUUGCCAUAAAUUUUUCAUUGCCAAGACAGUGUUGCAGGUAAGCUGCCGUGGCAAAACUUCUGGAUUGCUGCUGCAGUGAUUGAGCGACACUGCCAUGGCCGAGUUUUUGCCGACGUAGUGGAUGCUCAAACAGUAGACAUGUGUGGGAUGGACAUGAAACAAAAUUGCCACAUCAAGGGGGUGUUUUUUGAUUGACCUUCAGAUUAUUGCUUAAAAUUAUUACAUGGAAAAUACAUUCUGUAUAUUGGAGAUUGUGGGUGGUGCUGCUUAA